CGGCUCCAGUCCCAGUCCUGCAUCCUGCACCUGCCUGUCUUCAGGUCCUGAGGCCCACAGCCCAGAGCCACAGGACCCUGGGAAGGCGGUGCCUGCCUGGAGAUGCAGGGCUAAGGUCCUGGGGGCAGGAGUGAUUGGAAUGUAGUCUCCCUACCUUGCUUCUUCUCAGAGGAGGGGGAGAGGAAGGAGGUCUGAGGAAGGGCAUCAGAUGAAGCCAGUUUGGGGAGAGGCUGGAAGGGACCUGACAGUGCCACUCUGAUGGGAAAGCCAAUCUGAGGGUGAGUGGGUCUGAGAGGGCCCACGCGACAGGGUGAGCCUGAGCCAGAGCGGGUCUGGGACAUGCAUCAGAAGAGCUUUCGUUUGAAAGGGCCAGCCUGAGGGGUAAGCUGACCCAGGGGUGUCUGAAAGGGCCUGGUCUGGUGGGUCCAGUCUGAGGGGAGACUGAGCUGAAGGCACAUGGAUCCAAAGACUAGAACCGCCAACUAGUUCUAGUCUGCCUGAACUUUCCCAGUUUUAGCAUUGAAUAUCUCAAGUCUCUGGAAACCCCUCAGUCCCAGGCAAACUGGGACGUCGAUCACCCUGUUUGGGAAGGCCUUGCCUGACAGCACCAGUCUGAGUGGGGAGGCUGGUCUGAAGGACGUCUGAUGGGGGGAGGCUGGUCUGGAGGAUGUCUGAUGGGGGAGGCUGGUCUGGGGGAUGUCCGAUGGGGGAGGCUGGUCCGGAGGAUGUCUGAUGGGGGAGGCUGGUCUGGGGGAUGUCCGAUGGGG
This 767-nucleotide long non-coding RNA is filed under the name Pan troglodytes (chimpanzee). RNAcentral's name for it is "long non-coding RNA NONPTRT017779". The record is from RNAcentral. Lineage: Eukaryota; Metazoa; Chordata; Mammalia; Primates; Hominidae.